Long non-coding RNA from Zootoca vivipara (common lizard), 319 nucleotides. RefSeq lists it as uncharacterized. The record is from RefSeq and is a predicted model, not a curated record. NCBI's taxonomy places the organism in Eukaryota, Metazoa, Chordata, Lepidosauria, Squamata, Lacertidae.
CCUCGAAUACGACGACAGGAGAAACCAGCAGCUGCGGUGCAAAAAUAUGCCACCGCAUGCCGUUCGCCACCCCAGCCAAGUUCUAGGAUGAUUGCCAGAUGUUGGGGAUGGACCAGAAAGUGGAGAUUCCCAUCAUGCCCUGCUUCUGAACCCCUUCUCCCCUUCCAGAAACAAGUGGGUGCGCAUUGCUGGAACACGCAGGAGGGGAUGGAGGUCUUUUUGAAGCAACAAAACAAGACAAGGCCGUGUCAGGCAGGCGGAUGAGCGUCAUUUUGUUCUAUUCCUGUCAUUGAAAUCCAGCAUUAAAAUGCAAUUCAAG